AUUGAACGCUGGCGGCAGGCCUAACACAUGCAAGUCGAACGAGUGGCGGACGGGUGAGUAAUGUCUGGGAAACUGCCCGAUGGAGGGGGAUAACUACUGGAAACGGUAGCUAAUACCGCAUACCAUCGGAUGUGCCCAGAUGGGAUUAGCUUGUAGGUGAGGUAACGGCUCACCUAGGCGACGAUCCCUAGCUGGUCUGAGAGGAUGACCAGCGACAGUGGAACUAGGACACGGUCCAGACGCCUAGGUGGGGCAGCAGUGGUGAAUGUUGCACAAUGGGAGCAAGCCUGAUUGAGCCAUGUCGAGUGUAUUAAUAAGGCAUUCGGGUUGUAAAGUACUUUCAGCGGGGAGGCGGUACCCGCAGAAGAAUCACCGGCUAACUCCGUGCCAGCAGCCGCGGUAAUAC
This 406-nucleotide ribosomal RNA is filed under the name uncultured bacterium. RNAcentral's name for it is "partial 16S ribosomal RNA". It matches the Rfam family "Bacterial small subunit ribosomal RNA", at positions 30 to 526 of the family's 1533-position model. The record is from RNAcentral.